UGGGGGUCUUUCAAAAAAAAUUGACUCACCUAUACCAUUUCUAAACUCUCACACAAGAUACACUGGCAUCUUUUAUGCCUUACCUUCUCUCUCGAUCUUAUUCACAAACAAAACCCAAACCAAAUCUCACUCAUCUCUCAAAUUAUACACACACUUCCACAGGCCAAACACCCUCUCGGUCACCCCUCCCACUCGACAGAAGGCCGGCGGCCAAAGGCCGGUGGAGCCGUUUGCAACAACAGUGGUAAUUGGCGGUGUAUGGACGGUGGAGCGGAGGUGCGAUUACGGCGGUGGCGUGCUGUUUUUGCGACAGAAGACGGCGGCGGUGGUGGUGGAUUGUUGGUGGUUCGAGUGUUGUUGUGGGCCGAAAGGAAAUCGAAGAUGUUGAUGAUCUGAUUUUGUGGUGGUUGGGUUUUACGGCGACAGAUGUGGUGAUUCGUGACUUUCCGACGAGGUGAACGACGGCAAUUCAAGUAUUCAAACGAGGGUUCUUGGUUGCGGUAGUUUUUGGAAUUGGGGAUUUUGGCUCCAUACGCGGCUUCCCUCUUCGUUGCUACUGGAGCAUCAUCAGGCGACAGGUGUGGUUCUGACUGAGGUAUUGAAAAUUUGAAAUGUUUGUUACAUGUGUUUCUUAGUGUGUUAGGUUUUAAUAUGUGUUGAUUGAUGAUGAGGUUUUGAGCUUUAUGUUGAUGGAAUGUUAAAUUUGUAGUUGUAAGUAUGUGAAUUUUAGAGAAUAGAUGGAUAGCCAUACAAACUAGGCAUGGAUUUAAGAUAUGUGGUUCUUAUUCAGUAUAAUCUCAACUAUGGAUGGUGUGGUUAGCAUCUAAGAUGUGACUUUCAAAGGUUACGGUUUCGAGGUUGGUAGUUGGUGGUUGAGAUCAUACUCACAGGAAACGUAGAUCCCCCCUCGAAUCCCGAAUCGGUUCAGCUGUACUAGAAUUGGGUACAGAAUCGAAUCGUUCGGCCUGGGUUUGCCGUAAGUCAACUCAAGACUGCUUGUCGUAUGUCCACGUGUGGUGAAAUACAGUUAGAAGGAUGUUAUGUGAAGUACAAUAAUACAUCAUUUUUUGGGGCCCCAGAUAAGAUGGAGGUGUGCAGGAGAUGUGGUCCUUCAGUUGUCUAUAAUUCGGAUGUUUUGAACCGUAUAGACAGUGCAUUGGCAUUUCUGGUAGGCGGGAAUGGAGAAUACUUUCGCGAGGGUGAUUUUGGUAGCAUACAAGGUGUGGCACAGUGCAUACAAGAUCUGAGUUUAAGUGAUUGUCAAGAUUGUCUUUCAGAGGCAACUAGACGGUUGAGAUCAGUGUGUGAGACAUCAAGCUGGGGUGAUAUGUACCUUGGAAAAUGUUAUAUCCGAUAUGCUGAUCAAGGUAUAUAUAUGUCUGUUUUUGAUGACGAUGGGUAAUAUUUAUCAUAUUUAUAUAGCAUAAAGUCUACAUGAGUUAGUGCAGGUACUGUAAAUCUUGCUAAUAUCGGUGACUCUACUUCCAAUGAAAGUAGUGGCGGAGGGAUAAGCGUGUUGGACAUAAUCAACACUAUUUCCAGUUUUAGCUCCAUAUUGGGCACGCUCAGUGUGACUUUUGUUUGCAAUAAAAAAGGUGCAUUACAAGAAUAAUUAGUAUAGCCAUUCAAAGCAAGCCAGGUUCACAGAAGCAUUUGGAAAGUUCUAUGGUAGCUCGAAACAACGAACUGACAAUGAUAAAGGUCGUCCGGGUGUUCAUGACAACCGAGUGAAGUGCAUAAUUUUUCCAUUGUUACCUUCUUAUUUCAUUUUUUUAAUCUUCAUUUUACCUUAGCUGCGGGUGAGAAUCCGGACUGGUAGUACACAGAGUUUCUACCUAUCCCCGAAAGGUCACAAGAACUUAACUUCCAAACCUGGAAAAAGAUAAAAAACGGGAACACAACAUUGACUACCAGAUGUGGUAAUAUGACAAGUUUUUUAUGAAUGGGUCAAUUUGGUUAUGUAGAUUAGAUAUUUAUAUUAUAAGGAAUGUAAUCAGACGAGUCGAGUAACAAUUAAUGUUUGAUUUAACUUUACAACUCA
RNA transcript from Helianthus annuus (common sunflower), 2041 nucleotides. It is a transcript of the gene named plasmodesmata-located protein 6, with no coding region annotated. The record is from RefSeq and is a predicted model, not a curated record. NCBI's taxonomy places the organism in Eukaryota, Viridiplantae, Streptophyta, Magnoliopsida, Asterales, Asteraceae. The transcript is spliced from 3 exons.